RNAcentral lists this ribosomal RNA (614 nucleotides) under Diplodia scrobiculata. RNAcentral describes it as "eukaryotic LSU rRNA". It matches the Rfam family "Eukaryotic large subunit ribosomal RNA", at positions 38 to 667 of the family's 3401-position model. The record is from RNAcentral. Lineage: Eukaryota; Fungi; Ascomycota; Dothideomycetes; Botryosphaeriales; Botryosphaeriaceae.
GCAUAUCAAUAAGCGGAGGAAAAGAAACCAACAGGGAUUGCCUUAGUAACGGCGAGUGAAGCGGCAACAGCUCAAAUUUGAAAGCUGGCCCUUUCAGGGUCCGCAUUGUAAUUUGUAGAGGAUGAUUCGGCGAGGGCUCCCGCCUAAGUCCCCUGGAACGGGGCGUCAUAGAGGGUGAGAAUCCCGUAUGCGGUGGGCUGCGUUAGCCAUGUGAAUCUCCUUCGACGAGUCGAGUUGUUUGGGAAUGCAGCUCUAAAUGGGAGGUAAAUUUCUUCUAAAGCUAAAUACCGGCCAGAGACCGAUAGCGCACAAGUAGAGUGAUCGAAAGAUGAAAAGCACUUUGGAAAGAGAGUUAAAAAGUACGUGAAAUUGUUGAAAGGGAAGCGCUUGCAACCAGACUUGUCCGCAGUUGCUCAGCCGGUCUCCUGACCGGCGUACUCUUCUGCGGCCAGGCCAGCAUCAGUUCGGGCGGUCGGAUAAAGACCUCGGGAAUGUAGCUCCUCUCGGGGAGUGUUAUAGCCCGGGGUGCAAUGCGGCCAGCCUGGACUGAGGAUCUCGCUUCGGCAAGGAUGCUGGCGUAAUGGUUGUAAGCGGCCCGUCUUGAAACACGGACC